UACGUAGGGGCUAGCGUUAUCCGGAAUUACUGGGCGUAAAGGGUGCGUAGGUGGUUUCUUAAGUCAGAGGUGAAAGGCUACGGCUCAACCGUAGUAAGCCUUUGAAACUGGGAAACUUGAGCGCAGGAGAGGAGAGUGGAAUUCCUAGUGUAGCGGUGAAAUGCGUAGAUAUUAGGAGGAACACCAGUUGCGAAGGCGGCUCUCUGGACUGUAACUGACACUGAGGCACGAAAGCGUGGGGAGCAAACAGGAUUAGAUACCCCGGUAGUCCCUGAGCGGGCU
Molecule: ribosomal RNA, 282 nt
Filed under: uncultured prokaryote
Description: partial 16S ribosomal RNA
Rfam family: Bacterial small subunit ribosomal RNA
Source: RNAcentral